This is a long non-coding RNA of Salvelinus sp. IW2-2015, 282 nucleotides long. RefSeq lists it as uncharacterized. The record is from RefSeq and is a predicted model, not a curated record. Lineage: Eukaryota; Metazoa; Chordata; Actinopteri; Salmoniformes; Salmonidae.
UCUUCAAAGGAAUUCUGUAGAAGCAGCCUUUAUUUUCAGACUCUGCAGGCCUGCUGGGAGGAAACAUAUUACAAUAAACAGAAGAAGCUCAUGGUCCACUAUCUGCUGCUCCAGUGUCAAGGCCAGGUCCCGCCCCAUGUCACCACGGAGCACAUGAGCAACUGGCUGGUGUCUCAGGGCAAAAAAUCCCUUAGGGAGAGGGUGUGGAAGGAAACCCUGGAGGAGGGAAACGACCUCGCUCGGCUGGCCUGGGAAGUAAACACUUGCCUAAAAAUUAUGGAC